RNAcentral lists this unclassified non-coding RNA (324 nucleotides) under Devosia crocina. RNAcentral describes it as "Long range pseudoknot". Lineage: Bacteria; Pseudomonadati; Pseudomonadota; Alphaproteobacteria; Hyphomicrobiales; Devosiaceae. The record is from RNAcentral.
ACCAAGAUGAAGGCUGUGCAGCGGUUUCUGGGCGAUGGCGACCGGGUCAAGGUGACGAUGCGUUUCCGCGGCCGCGAAAUGGCCCACCAGGACAUCGGCAUGCAGCUUCUGGUCAAGGUCAAGGAGCAGAUGGACGCGAUCGCCAAGGUCGAAAGCCAGCCGCGCUCGGAAGGCCGGCAGAUGGUCAUGGUGCUGGCGCCCAAAUAAGGCGACAGCGUUUUGGAAUUGAAGAAGGCGGGUCGAUGGACCCGCCUUUUUUGUUCUGGGGCGUGGGUUUGGAGAAUGCCUUUUACCCCCUCCUAGCCUCCCCCUCCAGAAGGGGGA